AAUCAGUUUAAUUGAGGUCUGGAGCUGGCAUGUCAGUUAACUGCUAGUAGUCUGUUGUUAUUUAUGUAUUAUUGUCAUUUUAUUUAUUUUCUUUUGUUACAUCUUUUGACAUCAGACUCGGACUUCUCUUGAACUGAAUUUUAAUGUUCGUAUUGUUAUUCUUUUACUUUUCUACAUUGGCUAGAGGUAUAGGGGGAGGGUUGAGAUCUCAUAAAUGUUUUAACCCCGCCGCAAUUUUGCGCCUGUCCAAGUCAGGCCUCUGGCCUUUGUUAUCUUGUAUGAUUUUAAAUUUUAGUUUCUUGUGUAUAAUUCGGAGUUUAGUAUGACGUCCAUUAUCACUGUACUAUUAUGC
This 352-nucleotide long non-coding RNA is filed under the name Mytilus galloprovincialis (Mediterranean mussel). The record is from RNAcentral. Lineage: Eukaryota; Metazoa; Mollusca; Bivalvia; Mytilida; Mytilidae.